RNAcentral lists this non-coding RNA (23 nucleotides) under Mus musculus (house mouse). The record is from RNAcentral. RNAcentral also lists the same sequence under 1 other name. Lineage: Eukaryota; Metazoa; Chordata; Mammalia; Rodentia; Muridae.
UGUGAAGAUGGAAGAACGCCCAC